CGCAAGCCUGACGGAGCAAGACCGCGUGCGGGAUGACGGCCUAAUGGUUGUAAACCGCUCUUCUCUGGGAAGAUGAUGACGGUACCAGAGGAAUCAGCCUCGGCUAACUCCGUGCCAGCAGCCGCGGUAAUACGGAGGAGGCAAGCGUUAUCCGGAAUUAUUGGGCGUAAAGCGUCCGUAGGUGGUUAUUCAAGUCUGCUGUCAAAGCGUGGGGCUUAACUCCAUAGAGGCAGUGGAAACUGGAUGACUUGAGUGCGGUAGGGGUCGAGGGAAUUCCCAGUGUAGCGGUGAAAUGCGUAGAGAUUGGGAAGAACACCGGUGGCGAAAGCGCUCUACUGGGUCGCACCUGACCCUCAGGGACGAAAGCUAAGGUAGCG
RNAcentral lists this ribosomal RNA (377 nucleotides) under uncultured cyanobacterium. Its description in RNAcentral is "bacterial SSU rRNA". It matches the Rfam family "Bacterial small subunit ribosomal RNA", at positions 376 to 770 of the family's 1533-position model. The record is from RNAcentral. Lineage: Bacteria; Bacillati; Cyanobacteriota.